AAGUCGUAACAAGGUAACCGUAGGUGAACCUGCGGUUGGAUCAUUAAUGAAGGCUUUUAUGCCAAACCAGCUUUUUUAAGCUGACCCACCUUGUGUGAACCGUUAAAAUGUUUUUAGGCGGAGAGGGUUUUUUAAGUUGGGGUUUGAAUACUUCUUCUUCUUUAAUCCAAAGUCUUUAAUUAGAUAACAUCUCCGCCUACUGCUAUUUUCUUGAAAAAGAAGAUGGCAAAACAAAAACAAACCUUUUAUUGUCUUUCAAAUUAUAAAUCUAAACAAAUUUUUUACAUUCUAAAAUAAAAUUUCGAAUGAAAAAACAACUUUUGGCAACGGAUCUCUUGGUUCUC
Molecule: unclassified non-coding RNA, 344 nt
Filed under: fungal sp.
Lineage: Eukaryota; Fungi
Description: partial internal transcribed spacer region
Rfam family: Eukaryotic small subunit ribosomal RNA (bases 1-46)
Source: RNAcentral